GCUGGCGGCGCGCCUAACACAUGCAAGUCGAACGGACGAGAAGGAGCUUGCUCCUUCAAGUUAGUGGCGGACGGGUGAGUAACACGUGAGCAACCUGCCUUUCAGAGGGGGACAACAGUUGGAAACGACUGCUAAUACCGCAUAACGUUGCGGGAGGCAUCUUCCUGCAACCAAAGAUUUAUCGCUGAAAGAUGGGCUCGCGUCUGAUUAGCUAGUUGGUGAGGUAACGGCCCACCAAGGCGACGAUCAGUAGCCGGCCUGAGAGGGUGAACGGCCACAUUGGGACUGAGACACGGCCCAAACUCCUACGGGAGGCAGCAGUGGGGAAUAUUGCACAAUGGGGGAAACCCUGAUGCAGCGACGCCGCGUGAGUGAAGAAGUAUUUCGGUAUGUAAAGCUCUAUCAGCAGGGAAGAAAAUGACGGUACCUGACUAAGAAGCCCCGGCUAACUACGUG
Molecule: ribosomal RNA, 456 nt
Filed under: uncultured bacterium
Lineage: Bacteria
Description: bacterial SSU rRNA
Rfam family: Bacterial small subunit ribosomal RNA
Source: RNAcentral